Molecule: small RNA, 196 nt
Filed under: Pseudorhizobium banfieldiae
Lineage: Bacteria; Pseudomonadati; Pseudomonadota; Alphaproteobacteria; Hyphomicrobiales; Rhizobiaceae
Description: Rhizobium sp. NT-26 Rhizobiales sRNA Atu_C9
Rfam family: Rhizobiales sRNA Atu_C9
Source: Rfam by way of RNAcentral
UGUCAGCACAAGGAGGCAGACAUGGGACGUGCAUACUCUCUUAAUGUCCUGGUAGUCGGUGCAGCGUUUGUGUUCGUGGCUUCCAUGCUCUUUAUCUGAGCGCCACAAUCUCUCCGCAUCGGGACAUAUCUGGCAUCCGUGACACCUGUAUGACAGUUUGGCCUCUCGAAAACGCAGCUCCCCUGGGCUGCGUUUU